UUACAACAAUUGAAGCCAAUAUAGUGGAAUAUGGGCUCUAAAAUGGUAUGUCAGUAUUGAUAAAAGAAAACUGCCCAAGCUACAUGAAGAUUCAACCCAGGUAACCCAAAUAUGAAAAUAUGGUAGCAAAGUAAAGGAACACUAGAAACUAUUAAUGGAAAGUGGAAACUAUUACUGUGAUAAUUUAACUGGUCUCACUGUGAUAAUUUAUAACAGUAUAUUAAAUUAGUAUAUUACAAAUUUUAUAACAAUAUAUUAAACCAGUAUAUUACAUUAAUAAUUAAGGUGUAGUAUUUAUAACAGUAUAUUAAAACAAUAUAUUUAUAACUAUAACACCCUUAACCCGUAUCCGUUGUCAGAUUAGAGUUCCGAGGCAUUACUGAACAAGACACAGUUUAGCACAGUCAUUUAUCACCUUUCAUACACCAAAGAAUAACGAUUCAUUUAUAACAUUAUCAAACUUGAAUAUCCUUAAUUCAAUUAUUUUAAAUUCAAAUAUAUAUAUGAUAAUUACAAUUCAAAUCAAUCAUACCUUACUAAGCAUGUAUUAGAAAUAAACACAUUACAAAAUUCAAAUUAAUUCAAUUUAAACAUACAUCAAAGCUCAAUCGAACAUAUUCUAUAAUUAACAAAUUCGAACCAAACUUGUAUAUAUCAGAGUCAUGUUCAAGUAUAUAAUACUUUCAAUAUUCGAUUUCCCUAAAUCCAUCGUAUUAACGACAUUUUCAUAAUUAAAUCAUAUUCAAGCAUAUAUCCUCACUUUUCAUAUACAGGGAAUAUGUACGUACAUAAUUUCAUUAUCUAAAUAUCAAACUUUGCAUUUCAUAACUUCUGCAUAUGUACAUAAUGAAACCAAUAUGUAUACAACUUAAUGCCUAAUCACAAAUGCAACAUUAGUAAUAUUAUAUUUUAGCCUUGCAUACCUUUAAUGUCAUUAUAUUAUACACAUAUGCCCAUUUCAAUGAAAUCAUUCAAUCAUAAACUAUACACACUCAAUACAAAUCAACUUAUCCUUUAAUCGACUAAUCCAAUAAAUUUAUAAAAGUUAAAUUCAAACUUGUAUUACUCACUUAACUAUCAUUACCCGAAUUUGUAUGUAUCUUAUUCAUAAAUUUUAGGCCUACUUUAAAAAUCAUUUAUAUAUAUAUCAUUUAAAAGACCAAAAAUAUGCAUAUUUAUCUAUUACAAGUUUGCGCAUAUGAAUACACCAUUUUAGCCAUAUCCAAAAAUCCAUACAAUUCAUAUCAUUUUACAAAUACAAAAUCGAAUAUUAAGUCCACUUGCAUGAGCAAAUCGUAACUUUAUUAAAUACUCCACGUUCCUAAUUUAUUUCAUAACAAAUUGGCAUCCAUAAAUAACCUCAUAAAUUGUACAAGAUUUAGCCAUUAAAUCAUAAGUCAAAAUAUGCCAUUUCCUUAGCAAACCAUAUCGAUUCAAAUAAUAAAAUCAUACAUAUCACUUCACAUUUUCCAAACCUAUAUCCAUACACCAAUUUAUAGCAUAAAACACACUUCCAAAAUAGGUCUAGAUCAUGACCAAAUAUACACAUGUUCUUCCAUACCUUAUAACCGUACAUACACAUGCACAUUACUAGUUUCUUUCAAAUCAAUUUAUUAAUGUAAAUAUACUCUUACAAACCAAAUUUAACUAUCAUUUCAUCUAUGAUUUACUUAGCAUUUCACCUAUAUGCCAUAACCGAGUUCUCUUAAUUACUAAAUUACAUAACAAUACCUUAACAAAGCAUAUCAAACAAGAUUCACAUAUAUUUACUUAUAAAUAAACCAUAGUCGAAACACCAAUACCAAAACCAAACAUAUCACACAUAUCAUAUAUAUAUAUAACACAUAACCAAGAUUAAUUAAGCUUGAAUAUAAUUUACCUCAUUGCCGAAGCACGUGACAAAAACACCAUAACAUAUAUAUACCAAACUCACUUCACUUAUACGCUUCAUCUAAGCUCACCUAUGCCGAAUUAUUUACCACAUUCUUAACAAAACAUAUCAAACAUAAUUCACAUAAAUAAAUAUGCCAUAGCCGAGAUACCAAAAUCAACAUAUCUAACACUUGUUCAAAAGCAUAAAAACCAUGCUUAACAAAAUAAAUAAGCCAUUUUCGCAUGGCUCAUAUUAACAUACCCGAAAUCAAACAUAUUAACUAGACUAUACAUGCCAUAAGUUCAAUUUCAAACUUAGUAAAAUACCGAAAACAAUACUCGAUAGUGUGAUAGACUUCUCUGACGAUCGCCGAGCUCAUAACCAACUUCCAAAUCUAUAAAACAGAAAGCGAUUACACACAGUAAACUAUCAAAGCUUAGUAAGUCAUAAGCAAAUAAACAUUUAAUCAUUUACGUAAAUUAAGCUAGACAAUUAGUAAUAAACCAUUAUAAUUUCACAUAUAAUUCAAUUUGUCAACUUAUAUAUCAACACUUAUAUAAUUUGUAAUAACUUCCCUCUUUACCAAAUAAUCAAUUGAUAAUAUAACUAAUCAUCACUUUCCUCAAUACACAUAUACAUCAAAGGCCGAAUACAUAUAUAUUCAAAUAUGCAACCACAUAAUUCAUAUUUCACAUAACUUCAUAUCAUCAAUUCAAGUAUACAACUUACCUUAUUUUCAAAUAGAUAAUCAAUUAUCACAUACCUGGUCACUUAGCCUGAUUUAAACAUUCGUACACAACUUAUCUUUACCCGUUGAACCAUUCGGAAUUAAAAAGGAUACUCGGAUAGUCGGAAGGCUCGUACAAUGCCAACGUCCCAGACGUGGUCUUACAUGUAAUCACAUAUCGAUGCCACUGUCCCAAACAGGGUCUUACACAAAUCAAAUACGAUGCCAAUUUCCCAGACAUGGUCUUAUACGUAUACACAAUUCGAUGCCAACGUCCCAGACGUGGUCUUACACUAAAAUACAUAUCGAAAUCCUAUGUCAUGACAUAUGUAUCCUAACUAUUCCUAAGGCUCAUACGGGGCUUUCGGACGUCGUAACUCAGUUGAAACGAAUUCAUAAACAUAGCUGCCAAGCUUGUACACAUUCGGCUAAUACAUAUAUUUAUUCACAUAUUCAUUUCAGCACAUAUAAUUAACAUUUAAUUAAAAAUUAUAACAUCUAUUUGCUUAUAAACUUACCUCGGAUAUCGACGGAUGGAAUAGACGACUAUUCGAUUAUUUUUAUUUUUCCUCGAUCCAAAUCCAUUUUCUUUGGUUCAUGAUCUAAACAUAUUCAAAUUAAACUUAUUUAAACAUAAUUCCAUUUAAUUUAAUCUAAAAACACAUAAAUGGGCAAAUUACCAUUUUGCCCCUGACAUUUUACACUUUUUACAAUUUAGUCCCUAUUGCAUAAAACACAAAAUACACAAAAUUUGCAUUUAUCAUGCUAGGGCCGAAUAUUCCUAUAGUCCAUCUAAGUCCACACAUUUCAUUUAUUUCACAUUUUGACCCCUCAAUUUACACUUUUCUUAAUUUAGUCCUUAAUACACAUUUUUAUCAAAAAUUACUAAUUAAAACAUGAAAAUCUAACAACAUAUAUUUAUUUUCCAUCAUCUAACAACAAAAACAACAAGCUCUAUUCAAUGGCAUAUCACAAAAUACACAACCAAUUCAAAAAUUCAAGCAUGGGCUUUGUAUUACUCGAAGCAACGAUCUCAAAAACAUAAAAAUCAUCAAAAAUCGAAACCGAAAUAUAUCUUGAUUGAGCUUAGUAAUGGUCGAAUGCUUCAAAGCUCUUUUCUUUUCUUUUUCUUUAGCAACUUUCGGCAAGAUGAACAUGAUAAUACUUUUAAUUUAUGUUUUGUUUUAUUAUAAAUACAUUAUAAUAUUUUAUUUACUAAUUUAACAUUUAUAAGUUAAUAUAUAUAACAUAUAAUAUAAGGUCAUUCUUGACCAUUUUCAUCCACUAACUUAUAUAGUGGGCUAAUUGCAUCAUAGAACCUCCAAAUUAUAAAGACAACAACAAUUAGGCACUUUCAUAUUUAACCAUUAAAUUUUUAUUUUACGCGAUUAAGCCCUUUUUUCAAAUUUAGCUGACAAACAAUAAAAUAAAUUCAGGAAACUUUCACAUAUGUAAAUUCACACAUAAUUAACAAAAAAAUAAUAUUAAAAUAUUUUUCAAACUCGAAUUUGUGGUCCUGAAACCACUGUUCCGAUUAGAGUCAAAAUCAGGCUGUCACAAUAAUAGUAUAUUUAUAACAGUAUAUUAAAACAUUAUAUUAAAACAGUAUAUUUAUAACAGUAUACUAAAACAGUAUAUUAAAACAAUAUAUUAAAACAAUAUAAUAAACUAGUUAUUUAACUGCAAUAGAUCAAACUUAUAUUUACAGUAAAGAUCAGAGAAAGAAAGAAAAAAACUAACUUUUGAUUUUAAGUAAAACUUAUAUUUCCAACAUUGCUAAAUUAGCAGAGGCACCAACAAUGCUUGAAAGCACAAGAGGGUCAAUUAUACUAAUCCCUUGCCUUCUCAUCUUAACAAACAAGCCAACUACAUCAACCCCAUUUCCACUCUGUAUUAGCCCAGAUAUCAAAGCAGUCCAAGCAAACAAAUUUUUCAGGUGAACCCUUAAAAACAACUCCAAAGCCUCUUCUUUUCUUCCUUUUCUAGCAUAGCGAUAAAUGAUAGCAGUCCAAAAAGCCAUAUUUUUCAACUUAAUAGAAUCGAAAACUAAACAACUAUCAUCAGGUAAUCCAUAUUUUGCAUACAUAUCAACCAAAGAUGACUUAACAACAUCAUCAUCAAAAUAGGGUGAUACUAAAAAGUUGCCAUGAAAUUGCUUACCUUGUUUAAUAGCACCCAAGCUACCACAAGCCUUGACAAGGCUACCACCUGCUGUUUGUGAACCAGCAUGCAUGAAAGAAGCAGAAAAAAUAUACUUGUAUUUGAUCUCAGAAUUCAGCCCUGCAAAUUACAUGUUCUAUAAAACAUAAAUCAAUUCUCAUCCAAUAAUAAUUGAAUAAUACAAUUUUGCUCUUAAUUCUCAUCCAAAAUGAAAUUUGUUGUUAAUGACAGUGACAUAUUAGUUUAGUUUAAUUUAAGCAGUCAAUUUGGAGGGUUAUUUUUUCAAUUUUUUUAGAUUCCAUAAAACUUAAAUCCAAUUCUAUUGAUUUUCUUCCUUUUUCGGUUUUAAUAAAAGAACAAAUUUGCAACAAAAGAAAAAUCAUCAUUCAAGAAAAGAAAAUCACAUUAAUCCGCAAAAGAACUAAAAAAAAAUAGAACAAUAUAUAAAGUGUAAACACAAUCAAAAUCCCCCCAAGAUUCAGUGUCUCAAAAUCAAAAUCAGAAGAUCGUUAACAGCAAAAAUCAAAAUCACAAUCAAAAUCAAAAAGCAAAAAGGGAAGAAGACGUUGAAAAAUUAGAAAACCGUUAACAAGAAAUAGGGUUAACAGCAAACUUACCUUUGAAAUUCUACCACGUUGAAGGCUAGAGCGGAGGUGGAGUUGUGGAGGACUGGACACCAGAGGUGGAAUGGUGGAUCGGUGGAGGUGGGUUUUCGAUUUGGGGGAAAAAAAGGGAGGAGGGAAGGGGUUAGGGAUUUACAGAUACACGGGGUCGGGAAAUGGGAAAUGGGAAAUGGGGAGGGGAAUUGGGAAAUGUAACUGUAAU
This 5585-nucleotide long non-coding RNA is filed under the name Gossypium barbadense (sea-island cotton). RNAcentral's name for it is "long non-coding RNA (GBAR_LNC016969)". The record is from RNAcentral. Lineage: Eukaryota; Viridiplantae; Streptophyta; Magnoliopsida; Malvales; Malvaceae.